RNAcentral lists this long non-coding RNA (1289 nucleotides) under Nicotiana benthamiana. RNAcentral's name for it is "long non-coding RNA (NBEN_LNC016574)". The record is from RNAcentral. Lineage: Eukaryota; Viridiplantae; Streptophyta; Magnoliopsida; Solanales; Solanaceae.
AUAGAAAACCAACAACACUGAAAAUGCAUCACUUCAUAUUCACAUUGCCACGUUCAGAACCAAAGCAAAAAAACCAUGACCCAAGUUCCAAUUUUAGAGCAGCUUAUGUUAACAGACUAAACAACCAUAACAUGAUUGCCUUGUCAACGUUAAGCGAAUCAGUCGACUUAAAACAACAGUUGUGUGACAUCUUCAAAAAUCCAUACCAUCUCAAUACUCAAACACAUAUCACUGAUGAGAGUAGAUGCAGUCAAUAAGAAAUUCGAUCAUAACACAAAAAAACCACCCUAGAUUGAAUCUCAUAGCUCAAAAUACAAUGAAACAAAAUAGAAUCGCAAGAACAGAGAGAUGAAGACUGAACCUGUAAUUUCGAACUUCUUUUGAUAACAAAAUCGAAAACGAUUACACAGUUUCGACUCCAAACCUUCAGCAGUAAAAUAAUAGCAGGUCAAGGCUCGGAGCACAGCCAAACCAGUAGCAAAGACGAGCAGCAAUCAGAAGUUUAGACAGCAACGAACUCAGCAGCUUUCAAUCGAACUCCAUUUUAAGAACCAAAAUCAAAACAAAUAUUGAAAUCUUUUGGUGAUUUUCUAAUUUCUUCUGAAAUGAAACUCAAAUAAAAAUCAAACCCAAACUAUUUUUUUUUAUUUUUCUUUUUCUAAAAUGCAACACCAACGUGAAGAGAAAGAAAGCAAAGAACCCUAGAACCCUUUUUACCUCUCCGAAAUAUUUUUAGCCCCCUUCACCAAAUUGGAUCAAAUCUAUUUUGAAGACCAUUACUUAAUGAAUGUGGGGCUCAGAUUGAGUGAAAUCAAUCCAACGGCUCACACCCAUCCAGCAUUCGUCUUCCAGACCAUUCCAAUCGCGUGUUUAAACUCGAAUUCGAGCGAGUGGGAGGAGGAGGAAUCUUGGCGUCAGAAACCAUUAGCAACGGUAAGAUGAGAGAAGGAGGGAUGCGUGGGUUAGGGAUUUGGGAUCAUCGCCAUGGAUUUGGCCUGAAAUGGGACUGGAGUGAAAUCAAUCCAAAGCCUCAAACUCAUCCAGCAUUCGUCUUCCAUACCCUUCCAAUCGCAUGUUAAAACUCGAAUUUGAGCGAGUGAGAGGGGAGGGGAAUCUUGCGCCAGAAACCGUUAGCAACGGCAAGAUGAGAGAAGGAGGGACGCGUGGGUUAGAGAUUUGAGAUCACUCGCCAUGGAUUUGGCCUGAAAUGUGACUGGACUCGAGUGAAGAAGGCAAUUGAACAGUUCGUUUAGGAUUUAGGGCUCUGGGGGUCCCCGUAUGGUUGUGUG